AGCUUUGUGCAGUGGCAGUAUCAAAGCCAAUGAGGUUUAUCCAAGGCACGAUUAUUGCUAAUUAAAAUCAGUAUGGUACUG
RNAcentral lists this small nuclear RNA (81 nucleotides) under Octodon degus (degu). Its description in RNAcentral is "U4 spliceosomal RNA (ENSODEG00000025678.1)". It matches the Rfam family "U4 spliceosomal RNA". Rfam says of the family: U4 small nuclear RNA (U4 snRNA) is a component of the major U2-dependent spliceosome. The structure of U4 snRNA from yeast and human has been reported. Lineage: Eukaryota; Metazoa; Chordata; Mammalia; Rodentia; Octodontidae. The record is from RNAcentral.